This 382-nucleotide ribosomal RNA is filed under the name uncultured bacterium. RNAcentral describes it as "bacterial SSU rRNA". It matches the Rfam family "Bacterial small subunit ribosomal RNA", at positions 28 to 434 of the family's 1533-position model. The record is from RNAcentral.
GAUGAACGCUGGCGGUAUGCCUAACACAUGCAAGUCGUACGAGAGUUUUUAACUCUAGUGGCGGACGGGUGAGUAACACGUGAGAAUUUGCCUUUAGGAGGGGGAUAACAAUUGGAAACGAAUGCUAAUACCCCAUAUGCUUUUGAGUGAAAUGGAUUUUAUCCGCCUAGAGAGAAGCUCGCGGCUGAUUAGCUUGUUGGUAAGGUAAGAGCUUACCAAGGCGACGAUCAGUAUCUGGUUUGAGAGGACGAUCAGACACACUGGAACUGAGACACGGUCCAGACUCCUACGGGAGGCAGCAGUGGGGAAUUUUCCGCAAUGGGCGAAAGCCUGACGGAGCAAUACCGCGUGAGGGAAGACUGCCUAUGGGUUGUAAACCGUC